CAGUCUUGAGCCACCUAUAGAACCGAGAGAGCUGGAGGGUUACCUCAGGGAGAGAGACAGUCUCGAGUGUGACCUCUAUCCCGAGACACCCACGACACCUCCAACCAGAGGUUCUUACGGGGGGGUAGGUUGGAAAGGUCGUCCACAGCAAGAAGGAAACCUAAAGGACGAAGACCUACUAGACGACGGACCUAGGGCUCAAACAUGCGGUUCGACGAAGGGGAACGGAAGUAGGCUCCUAGACGAUCAAAGCCCACGUCGACCACGAAGCUCUCCUCACUACAAGUCGUCAAGUC
This 296-nucleotide ribosomal RNA is filed under the name Triticum aestivum (bread wheat). Its description in RNAcentral is "partial small subunit ribosomal RNA". The record is from RNAcentral. Lineage: Eukaryota; Viridiplantae; Streptophyta; Magnoliopsida; Poales; Poaceae.